CGUGUAGGCGGCUGGAUAAGUCAGAUGUGAAAGCCCUGGGGCUUAACCCAGGAAGUGCAUUUGAAACUGUUCAGCUUGAGUAAGGGAGAGGAAAGUGGAAUUCCUGGUGUAGAGGUGAAAUUCGUAGAUAUCAGGAGGAACACCGGUGGCGAAGGCGACUUUCUGGCCCUAUACUGACGCUGAGACGCGAGAGCGUGGGUAGCAAACA
Molecule: ribosomal RNA, 208 nt
Filed under: uncultured Smithella sp.
Lineage: Bacteria; Pseudomonadati; Thermodesulfobacteriota; Syntrophia; Syntrophales; Smithellaceae
Description: partial 16S ribosomal RNA
Rfam family: Bacterial small subunit ribosomal RNA
Source: RNAcentral